CCCGACUGCUAUUUGGGUGAGGAUAAGCCAUGCGAGUCGAAUGGGAUACCUAAAUUUCCCAUGGCAAACUGCUCAGUAACACAUGAUCAACUUACCCUAUGGAGAAAAAUACCCUCGGGAAACUGAGGAUAAUGUUUCAUAGUUGAAAAGGCUUGGAAAAGUUUUUCAAUGAAAGGGAUAAAAAAAAUGGUUUUUAUCUGCCAUAGGAUAGGAUCGUGGUCGAUUAUGGUUGUUGGCGAGGUAACUGCUCACCAAGCCGAUAAUCGAUAGGGGCCGUGAGAGCGGGAGCCCCGAGAUGGGUACUGAGACAACGACCCAGGCCUUACGAGGCGCAGCAGGCGCGAGACCUCCGCAAUACACGAAAGUGUGACGGGGUUACCCAAAGUGUUCUUAUAGAACUGUGGUAGGUGAGUAAUGUUCCCUACUAGAAAGGAGAGGGCAAGGCUGGUGCCAGCCGCCGCGGUAAAACCAGCUCUUCAAGUGGUCGGGAUAAUAUUGGGCUUAAAGCGUCCGUAGCCUGUUUAGUGAGUUCCUGGUAAAAUCGGGUAGCUUAACUAUCCGCGUGCUAGGAAUACUGCUAUACUAGAGGGCGGGAGAGGUCUGAGGUACUACAGGGGUAGGGGUGAAAUCUUAUAAUCCUUGUAGGACCACCAGUGGCUAAGGCGUCAGACUGGAACGCGCCUGACGGUGAGGGACGAAAGCCAGGGGAGCGAACCGGAUUAGAUACCCGGGUAGUCCUGGCCGUAAACGAUGCAUACUAGGUGAUGGCACGGCCAUGAGCCGUGUCAGUGCCGUAGGGAAACCGUUAAGUGUGCCGCCUGGGAAGUACGGUCGCAAGGCUAAAACUUAAAGGAAUUGGCGGGGGAGCACCACAAGGGGUGAAGCCUGCGGUUCA
RNAcentral lists this ribosomal RNA (895 nucleotides) under uncultured archaeon. RNAcentral's name for it is "bacterial SSU rRNA". It matches the Rfam family "Archaeal small subunit ribosomal RNA", at positions 21 to 904 of the family's 1478-position model. The record is from RNAcentral.